UGUGAAUGCACAUAUUGAUGAAUUAGUAAAUUUACCCACAGUACGAGGGUCCUCCUAUGAAAAGAUCUUGGCUUUCUACGAACAUUUGAGCAAGAACUAUGACGCCCUACAGACUCUCGGUGAACAUGAGAAAUUAGAUGGAUUUGUGAUGUGUACUAUUAAUAAGUUGCCAAAUGUGAAGUCAGACUUGGUAAGGACUGAUGAAGAUUGGGAAGAAUGGAAAAUGGAGAACUUAGUUGAUAGUCUGCAAAAAUGGUUACGAAGAAACAAAACUGAAGAAGAUAAAUCCAUAGGUGACCCAAGAAGAAGUAAUGGAGGUAAAGAGAACGAAAGAGGAAAAAAGACACCUUGUUGUAUGUUCUGUAAAGCUGAACACUGGAGUGAUAUGUGCAAGUCUUACGUAACCACAGCUCAAAGAAAGGCUUACUUCGGUGAGAACAAUUUAUGCUUCAAUUGCGGUAGCCCGGGACAUAGGGCUAGACAUUGUAGGAGUCGUGGGUGCUAUCA
Non-coding RNA from Paramuricea clavata, 507 nucleotides. Lineage: Eukaryota; Metazoa; Cnidaria; Anthozoa; Malacalcyonacea; Plexauridae. The record is from the annotation of a GenBank genome assembly.